RNAcentral lists this long non-coding RNA (253 nucleotides) under Oryza brachyantha (malo sina). Its description in RNAcentral is "long non-coding RNA (OBRA_LNC000080)". Lineage: Eukaryota; Viridiplantae; Streptophyta; Magnoliopsida; Poales; Poaceae. The record is from RNAcentral.
GGAGGAGGAGACGGGUACUCGGGGAAGCGGAGCCGCCGCCAUCAGAAGCAAAAGCAGCGGAGAGCUAGUGACGCGACGGGGCGAAGAAGAGCGUCGUCGGGUGCUCGUGGGCGCAUCGUCGGGCCCACCAUAACUGGCCCAGUUACGGCCCAUCCAAUAUAGGCCCCUAAGGCCCGCUAUUUUACUUAGCGAAGUAAGGCCCCGUUCGGUAGGAGGGCAUAAGUUAACUUAAUGCUCUGGCACGAAAAACGUA